UUCAGGAGAAAAGCUUUUCUAUGGAUUUUUCCUCUUAGGAUUUAUUUCCCUGGAGACCUCAUGAAGAAUGAUGUGGGUUCUAUAGGGUACAGUGUGAUCUGGGUCCUGCCUAAUCUCCUUUCUAAACUUCAGAAAAUCAUGUACCUUGGAGUUGUGGAGGCAUGUUUAUAAGCAGAUCUGAGUUUUGCCACACUGGAAUUUAUUUAUUCAUUGAACAAAUAUUUAAUACCUACUACAAUUCUUAGCCGAUAUAUCAGCACAACUUCUCUGCUCCAACUAGUCUACAUUGCAAAGCAUCUCCUAGUGUCUUUGGAAGAAGGAUCUAUGGUGUUAUAUGUGAACAAAGAUGUAGACUAGUAAGGUAUCAAGAUUUGAUGGGGAUAUCCAGACAACUUGGAGCCAAGUCCCCACAGCUGGAUCAGACAACUUUUGGUGACAUCUCACAGUGUGGAUUAUCAAGCCAGUGUAUCAGUCUGGAGCCUAGGUUUUUUGCCUUUAGCUUUGCUCAGGAUGACUUCUGCUCUUCUAUGGCAAUACUUGAGAAGCUACAGCUUUGAUUAGACGAGAGGCUAUUUCAAUAACUUUCUCCUGAUAAGAAGACCACCGACCGUGGACGGAUUCUGGCCAGUUUACAAAGGCUGCAUACCAUAGGGCAGGGCACCCCACUAUGGCAAACACUAAUAAUGAUAUUGCUCCUGAUUUUGUUUCUGAAGGGAAUGCCUCUAAGAUUUCUUCAUUAAUUAUAAGAGACUGGGUCUCACUCUGUUGCCCAAGCUGGAGAACAGUGGCACCAUCAUAGCUCACUGCAGCCUUCAACUUCUGGGCUCAAGUGCUUCUCCCACCUCAGCCUCCCAAGUAGCUGGGACAACAGGUGAAAUUGAAGGCCAGCUUUUGGAACUCAACCUUCAAAGGAACUUAAAAUUUCCAUUAUGUAGAGUCCCUGAGGAAACUGGAUCCACUAGCUACACUGGCUGAGAAUGCUCUCACCCCAGGAUUUCAUUUUUAUUUUACCACAUCAUUGUUGGUAUCUUAAGAUCAAUGUACUGGAGCAGCGGGGUCUCACAAAGAGGAUACCUGGUGACACGCCCAGGCUUUCAGAAUGCACUAUAGGGCUUUAGUGACUUGUCCAGGUUCAGCUGAAAUGUGCCAUCUGGGACCUACUAAUGCUUGUUGAACUUUACUGGAUCUCAGAAGCUGGGUCUCAGAAGCUCAGAUGUUCCUCAGAGCUACGAUAUCAACAACCUGUGAUGACAGAGAGAAGGUUGCUCCAUGAUGGAUUUGGAAACUUACUGGCUAGCUAAACCUGACUGAAUGGGAAGGAAUGUGGAUAGCUUUGGAACUCUAGUUUCACUAGAUGAGCUGGAAUUUGUAUUUUGACAAAUUGCACGUUAUGAUUAUUAAGUAAUGCAACUGAUUUUUUUUUCCCUUAAAACAAACAAUCUAGAAUCUGUGUAAUCAAAAUAAUUUCUCUAAAAGGCUGCAAGUAUAUGCUUAAAGUGUUGGGGCAUUCAGAGCAUUUGGAACAUUACAUUCUUUUGAAUGUCAAUUGGUAGAUGAAAAUACCAGCUUUUAAGUCAUACAUUUGAUUUUUUGAAACAAUAUGCAUUUAGAGUUUGUAAGUCAAGUGAAUAACUGAUAAGGUAAAAAAAAGGGGGAGUUCAUUGUUGAGUAUGAAUUUAAAGUAACCAGACUGCCUUUUGUCCAGUGGCUGUCAGUAAUUUACUUCAGCAGGCAUUUUUUUUUUUUUGAGGCUGUUCUAUGAUAUCAUGACCCUUCUUGUAGGAAUGUGCUUCCAGUGGUGAGGCAGUCUGAGAAUGUGUGAAGCAGUAUAAUGAAGCCAGACCAAGAUGGAAGCUUGGCCUGGGAUUUGAGCAUCAGGAAAACUGUUGAAGGGUUAUGUAUACAUCACACACACACACACACACACACACACACACACACACACACACACACUCUCUUCCAUACUCCUAUAACAACGUAUAGUAUUUACUAUACCUGGUGACAGGUAUUUACUAUACAUUGUUGAAGAUCUAUAACAUGGAAUGCCUAGUGCUAAGUGCAGUGUCCUUAGUGAAAUUGUAUUGGUUUGGAAUUAUUUAUGAGUUUGGGAUUAUUUGUCACUACCCUUAAAUGAUCUUGACACUCACCUAUUUGAAAAGAUAUUGAGGAUUUGCCAUUUGAUAUUGACCAGGGUGUAUUGUGCACAAAUAUUGUGAAUAUACAUCUGUCUGUCCUUAAAUCACUGUAAGUUUUAACUGGAAUAGAUUUGCUCCACAUUACUCGGUAGGGCUGAUAUUUCAUGCCUCAUGGAUGAGAAAAGAAUAGGCAAAAAUUAUAUCUCGGGCUGCCUCACACAUCUUUUAACAGGAUAAGGGAAAAAUAAAUAUAAGACCUAUGAGUUAUGGCAUCAGGCUUGAACUUUAAUUUAUGAAUUAAACCAACAAUAUUAUUGAUUAUUGCAAUUAUCUAUCUUAAUUUCAUUUGUUCUCCUUUUAAAAAUUAAUUAUGUUUAUUUUACCUAUUGUGAAUAAAGUCACUCCUCCCAUGUGCUUAUUUCUUGACUCUGGCACUAAUUAUUCUUCAGUGCCUAGAUUUCCUGGGACUGCUCAGUUUAAGUAACUUCUGAACAUUGGUCUCUGAGAGAAAAGACAGUGAAGUGGGAUCUGUGGAAAAACACAUCUGCAAAUGUCUCAUUUUUUUCUUCAGGGGUAAGUUUUCUUCCUUGGAGACUCUUGUCUUGAAAAAGUGAUACUAGAUCACCAUUUGGCAAGAUAAUUACAAAAGGCAGAUAGAGUAAUUAUUUUACAUAGCUGUUAUAGGGUGACUAAGAUCUCAGGGAAUGACUGUGUUCUGUAAUCCACUUGCCCCACUCAAUACCCCAAGUUUUAUACAAGCCAAAGAUGCUUGGAGCAGAAUCUGCUACCUGAGGCUCCAGGGCCUUGGCCUAGGGAAACUAAUACUUAACUUUUUAAGUGGUCAUUGAUGACAUCCCACUCCUUUCUGAGAUGGGUAUGAUUUGAAAGGCAGGUGUAUUCAUGGAGAGCAGGGCUUGGGACCUUUGCUGCAAGAGGAGGAACUAUUAGCCUAGACUUUUCUAAUAAGGACUUUCUCAUACCUGUUUCCUAGAUCUGGUCCACAUAGAAGAAAUCAGGGAACACACAGGGUAGGACUCUUAAAGGAGUAUGUUUCUUGGCUUUUUCCUAAAAACUAAAACAAAAACAUUCAUAGCAAAGCAGUUUAGCCCAGUGACUAAGAGUAUAGACAUUGGAAUCUGAAAGAUCUGGGUUGGAAUUCUGCUUCAGCCAUUUACUAAUUAUGUAACUUCACAUCUCUGAGAAUGGGGGAAAUUUUCUUUGCAGGGUUGUUACAAAGCUUAAAAGAGUUAAGUCAAGUGCCUGGAACAGAACAGCCAUUCAAUAAAUCAUAGAAAUUUUUGUUUUUACACAAAUUUUUAAAAAGUAAUAUUUUUUGCAUUUGUUAGAAAGACUAUAUUUUCUGUUUAGUGGAUGACAUCAUCAUCAUAAAAAUCACUGUUACAAGUUUUGUUUUGAGAAUUAAAAUCAUAUAUUAAUCCCAAUCACAUUGUGUUGGGAUUAAUCAACAUCUCUGGGCAUCUAAUACUGUAAAAACAUGGCCUGUGAUUGGUCUGCUUGGAAGUGCA
RNAcentral lists this long non-coding RNA (3661 nucleotides) under Homo sapiens (human). RNAcentral's name for it is "HSALNT0015271". The record is from RNAcentral. Lineage: Eukaryota; Metazoa; Chordata; Mammalia; Primates; Hominidae.